UUGAGUGCUUUACAUCCAUAGCACAGGCACUGGGUCCAGGGUUCUCUCAAUUUGCUGAGCCUGUGUUUCAGAGGUGUAUAAAUAUCAUCCAGAGCCAACUUGUGGCCAAGGUUGAUCCCAUUUCAAUUGGAGUACCAUACGAUAAAGAGUUUAUUGUCUGCUCUCUGGAUCUCCUCUCUGGGCUUGCUGAGGGUCUUGGUAGUGGGAUACAGAGUUUGGUUUCACAAAGUAGUUUGAGG
This 239-nucleotide unclassified non-coding RNA is filed under the name Hevea brasiliensis (rubber tree). Lineage: Eukaryota; Viridiplantae; Streptophyta; Magnoliopsida; Malpighiales; Euphorbiaceae. The record is from RNAcentral.